RNAcentral lists this unclassified non-coding RNA (330 nucleotides) under Hevea brasiliensis (rubber tree). The record is from RNAcentral. Lineage: Eukaryota; Viridiplantae; Streptophyta; Magnoliopsida; Malpighiales; Euphorbiaceae.
GCCUUUUUUUAAUCCUUUUAUUUCCAUAUUGGAGUGUGAAAAGAUAGCCAGCAAAACCAUUUCAUUCUUGUUGGAUUACAAACUGGAAGUAUCUGCUUUCAGCCAGUUGUCAUUAUAACAGUCCAUGAUAUGGCAAUUUGUUGGGCAUUGGAAAACUAACUUGUCAACUGCACAAAAACCCCAUCUGAUUUUGUGAUUCUGUUGUGUUAUAAUUUUAAACGGUAGAACAUGCAAGAAUCAGGCAUUGGGAUGAUCAGAGAUAGCCGUUUUAUUAUGAUUUUUAUUACAAACUGAUAGAAAUUAUGUGCUGUAAUUUUUUUGAAUUGAUCA